This 295-nucleotide unclassified non-coding RNA is filed under the name uncultured Protomerulius. Its description in RNAcentral is "partial contains 5.8S ribosomal RNA, internal transcribed spacer 2, and large subunit ribosomal RNA". Lineage: Eukaryota; Fungi; Basidiomycota; Agaricomycetes; Auriculariales; Hyaloriaceae. The record is from RNAcentral.
AACGCACCUUGCGCUCCUUGGCAUUCCAUGGAGCAUGCCUGUUUGAGUGUCACGUGAACACAUCACCUCCCUUUGGGGAUGCGUGGACUUGGACGUCUGCCGACGAGAGUCGGCUCGUCUCGAAAUGCAUUAGCCUGCAGAGUGCUUCGCUGGGCCUUUGGCGUGAUAGUAACAUUUCGCCGUAGCGUCUGCGAUGUCUUUGACUCUGGGCUCAUAAUAUUUGGAACCCGUCCGCGGGGACCAUCUUUUUUUACGCUCUGGCCUCAAAUCAGGUAGGACUACCCGCUGAACUUAA